AGUGCGAAUAUUGCACAAUAGGAGCAUGCCUGAUGCAGCGACGCCUCAUGAGGGAUGAAGGCCUCGGGUUGUAAACCUCUUUCAGCAGGGAAGAAGCGCAACUGACGGUACCAGCAUAUGUAGAGCUGUCUAGCUACUUGCCAGCAGUCGUGGUAAUAUGUAGGGCGCAAGCAUUGUCUGGAAUUGUUGGGCGUAAAGAGCUCGUAGGCGGUUUGUCGCGUCUGCUGUGAAAACUCGAGGCUCAACCUCGGGCUUGCAGUGGGUACGGGCAGACUAGAGUGCGGUAGGGGAGACUGGAAUUCCUGGUGUAGCGGUGGAAUGCGCAGAUAUCAGGAGGAACACCGAUGGCGAAGGCAGGUCUCUGGGCCGCAACUGACGCUGAGGAGCGAAAGCAUGGGGAGCGAACAGGAUUAGAUACCCUGGUAGUCCAUGCCGUAAACGUUGGGCACUAGGUGUGGGGCUCAUUCCACGAGUUCCGUGCCGCAGCAAACGCAUUAAGUGCCCCGCCUGGGGAGUACGGCCGCAAGGCUAAAACUCAAAGAAAUUGACGGGGGCCCGCACAAGCGGCGGAGCAUGCGGAUUAAUUCGAUGCAACGCGAAGAACCUUACCAAGGCUUGACAUACACCGGAAACUUCCAGAGAUGGUUGCCCCGCAAGGUCGGUGUACAGGUGGUGCAUGGUUGUCGUCAGCUCGUGUCGUGAGAUGUUGGGUUAAGUCCCGCAACGAGCGCAACCCUCGUCCUAUGUUGCCAGCGGGUCAUGCCGGGGACUCAUAGGAGACUGCCGGGGUCAACUCGGAGGAAGG
This 805-nucleotide ribosomal RNA is filed under the name uncultured bacterium. RNAcentral describes it as "bacterial SSU rRNA". It matches the Rfam family "Bacterial small subunit ribosomal RNA", at positions 354 to 1173 of the family's 1533-position model. The record is from RNAcentral.